GGAGGAAAAGAACUAACAAGGAUUCCCCUAGUAACUGCGAGUGAAGCGGGAAAAGCUCAAAUUUAAAAUCUGGCAGUCUUUGGCUGUCCGAGUUGUAAUCUAGAGAAGUGUUGCCCGCGCUGGACCGUGUACAAGUCUCCUGGGAUGGAGCGUCAUAGAGGGUGAGAAUCCCGUCUCUGACACGGACUACCAGGGCUUUGUGGUAUGCUCUCAAAGAGUCGAGUUGUUUGGGAAUGCAGCUCAAAAUGGGUGGUAAAUUCCAUCUAAAGCUAAAUAUUGGCGAGAGACCGAUAGCGAACAAGUACCGUGAGGGAAAGAUGAAAAGAACUUUGGAAAGAGAGUUAAACAGUACGUGAAAUUGCUGAAAGGGAAACGCUUGAAGUCAGUCUCGUUAGCUGGGGAUCAGCCUUGCUUCUUUGCUAGGUGUAUUUCCUGGUUGAUGGGUCAGCAUCAAUUUUGACCGCUGGAAAAAGGCUUGAGGAAUGUGGCACCUCCGUGGUGUGUUAUAGCUUCUUGUCACAUACAGUGGUUGGGAUUGAGGAACUCAGCACGCCGCAAGGCCGGGUUUYGACCACGUUCGUGCUUAGGAUGCUGACAAAAUGGCUUUA
RNAcentral lists this ribosomal RNA (608 nucleotides) under Cyphomyrmex minutus symbiont 950113-09. RNAcentral's name for it is "eukaryotic LSU rRNA". It matches the Rfam family "Eukaryotic large subunit ribosomal RNA", at positions 52 to 642 of the family's 3401-position model. Lineage: Eukaryota; Fungi; Basidiomycota; Agaricomycetes; Agaricales; Agaricaceae. The record is from RNAcentral.